This 1393-nucleotide ribosomal RNA is filed under the name freshwater sediment metagenome. RNAcentral's name for it is "bacterial LSU rRNA". It matches the Rfam family "Bacterial large subunit ribosomal RNA", at positions 1042 to 2284 of the family's 2925-position model. The record is from RNAcentral.
AGGUCCCAAAUGACGUGCUAAGUGGAAAACGAAGUGGAAAGGCAUAGACAGCCAGGAUGUUGGCUUAGAAGCAGCCAUCAUUUAAAGAAAGCGUAAUAGCUCACUGGUCGAGUCGUCCUGCGCGGAAGAUGUAACGGGGCUAAGCACGUAACCGAAGCUUCGGAUGCUGCAUUCUUCGGAAUGUAUGCAUGGUAGGAGAGCGUUCUGUAGGCCUGCGAAGGUGUUCUGUGAGGAAUGCUGGAGGUAUCAGAAGUGCGAAUGCUGACAUGAGUAGCGAUAAAGGGAGUGAAAAGCUCCCUCGCCGAAAACCCAAGGUUUCCUGCGCAACGUUCAUCGGCGCAGGGUGAGUCGGCCCCUAAGGUGAGGCAGAGAUGCGUAGCUGAUGGGAAACAGGUUAAUAUUCCUGUACCUGUAUACAAUGCGAUGUGGGGACGGAGAAGGUUAGGUCAGCCGGGUGUUGGAUGUCCCGGUUCAAGCGUGUAGGUUGGUUCUUUAGGCAAAUCCGGAGAGCUAAGACUGAGACGUGAUAACGAGUGCACUUGUGCACGAAGUGAUUGAUACCAUGCUUCCAAGAAAAGCCACUAAGCUUCAGUUGUAUAGAGACCGUACCGCAAACCGACACAGGUGGGUAGGAUGAGAAUUCUAAGGCGCUUGAGAGAACCCGGGAGAAGGAACUCGGCAAAUUAGCACCGUAACUUCGGGAGAAGGUGCGCCCCGGUAGAGUGUAGCGACUUGCUCGUGAAGCUCGAUGGGGUUGCAGUGAAAAGGUGGCUGCGACUGUUUAAUAAAAACACAGCACUCUGCAAACACGAAAGUGGACGUAUAGGGUGUGACGCCUGCCCGGUGCUGGAAGAUUAAAUGAUGGGGUGCAAGCUCUUGAUUGAAGUCCCAGUAAACGGCGGCCGUAACUAUAACGGUCCUAAGGUAGCGAAAUUCCUUGUCGGGUAAGUUCCGACCCGCACGAAUGGCGUAACGAUGGCCACACUGUCUCCUCUCGGGACUCAGCGAAGUUGAAAUGUUUGUGAAGAUGCAAUCUACCCGCGGCUAGACGGAAAGACCCCAUGAACCUUUACUGUAGCUUUACAUUGGACUUUGACAAGAUUUGUGUAGGAUAGGUGGGAGACUAUGAAGCGGCGUCGCUAGAUGUCGUGGAGUCAACCUUCUGCCUUCUCCUCCUCUCCUCCCUCUCUGACCCGCACAUAUUCCUCCGUGUAUCCCCGUAUUCUGGGGAGAUUCGUAUGCGCGCCCUGGUCCGUGUAGGACUGUCCUGGCCGGCCUAUUUCACAAGUCCGUUUUUUGUUAGAAUGACCGCAAGGACGAUAACAGGAGUGGCAAAACAAUUGCAGAACAAGUGGGAGGAAAAUGGAACGGGGACGGUAUUGGAAAAGGGACA